Ailuropoda melanoleuca (giant panda) is the source of this 52-nucleotide non-coding RNA. The record is from Rfam. NCBI's taxonomy places the organism in Eukaryota, Metazoa, Chordata, Mammalia, Carnivora, Ursidae.
UUUUUAGUAUAAGUAUAUUCCAUGCAACACUUGGGAUAUACUUAUGCUAAAA